GUCUACGGCCACACCACUCUGAUCCAGCCGAUCCUGUCUGAUCUUGGAAGCUAAGCAGGGUUGGGCCUGGUUAGCACUUGGAUGGGAGACGAUCUAGGAAGACCAGGGACUGUAGGCA
Molecule: ribosomal RNA, 118 nt
Filed under: Pteropus alecto (black flying fox)
Lineage: Eukaryota; Metazoa; Chordata; Mammalia; Chiroptera; Pteropodidae
Source: RNAcentral